Molecule: non-coding RNA, 217 nt
Filed under: Reinekea blandensis MED297
Lineage: Bacteria; Pseudomonadati; Pseudomonadota; Gammaproteobacteria; Oceanospirillales; Saccharospirillaceae
Also listed under: 1 other name
Description: FMN riboswitch aptamer (RFN element)
Rfam family: FMN riboswitch aptamer (RFN element)
About the family: The RFN element is a highly conserved domain that is found frequently in the 5'-untranslated regions of prokaryotic mRNAs that encode for flavin mononucleotide (FMN) biosynthesis and transport proteins. This element is a metabolite-dependent riboswitch that directly binds FMN in the absence of proteins.
Source: Rfam by way of RNAcentral
GCAUAACUUCAGGGCGGGGUGAAAUUCCCCACCGGUGGUAGUUGAUGAGAGUGAUGACCGUGUGUCGUUGUUUUUGUCAGGAGCCCACGAGCGCCCGAGUCGCCAUUCUGGUGGCCCGGGGUCUAGCAGAUCAGGUGCGCAAGACAGGCAAUCUAAGGAUUGGUUGAUCGUGCAAGGCCUGAGCCGACGGUGAUAGUCCGGAUGGAAGAAGUUAACG